GUUUGACCUCAAAUCAGGUAGGAGUACCCGCUGAACUUAAGCAUAUCAAUAAGCGGAGGAAAAGAAACCAACCGGGAUUGCCUUAGUAACGGCGAGUGAAGCGGCAAAAGCUCAAAUUUGAAAUCUGGUACCUUCGGUGCCCGAGUUGUAAUUUGGAGAGGGCAACUUUGGGGCCGUUCCUUGUCUAUGUUCCUUGGAACAGGACGUCAUAGAGGGUGAGAAUCCCGUGUGGCGAGGAGUGCGGUUCUUUGUAAAGUGCCUUCGAAGAGUCGAGUUGUUUGGGAAUGCAGCUCUAAGUGGGUGGUAAAUUCCAUCUAAAGCUAAAUAUUGGCGAGAGACCGAUAGCGAACAAGUACAGUGAUGGAAAGAUGAAAAGAACUUUGAAAAGAGAGUGAAAAAGUACGUGAAAUUGUUGAAAGGGAAGGGCAUUUGAUCAGACAUGGUGUUUUGUGCCCUCUGCUCCUUGUGGGUAGGGGAAUCUCGCAUUUCACUGGGCCAGCAUCAUUUUUGGUGGCAGGAUAAAUCCAUAGGAAUGUAGCUUGCCUCGGUAAGUAUUAUAGCCUGUGGGAAUACUGCCAGCUGGGACUGAGGACUGCGACGUAAGUCAAGG
This 610-nucleotide ribosomal RNA is filed under the name Saccharomyces cerevisiae (brewer's yeast). RNAcentral's name for it is "28S ribosomal RNA". It matches the Rfam family "Eukaryotic large subunit ribosomal RNA", at positions 1 to 611 of the family's 3401-position model. Lineage: Eukaryota; Fungi; Ascomycota; Saccharomycetes; Saccharomycetales; Saccharomycetaceae. The record is from RNAcentral.